AGCCUGACCCAGCGACGCCGCGUGAGGGAUGAAGGUCUUCGGAUUGUAAACCUCUUUCAGUAGGGAAGAAGCGAAAGUGACGGUACCUAAAGAAGAAGCACCGGCUAACUAUGUGCCAGCAGCCGCGGUAAUA
This 133-nucleotide ribosomal RNA is filed under the name uncultured bacterium. RNAcentral's name for it is "partial 16S ribosomal RNA". It matches the Rfam family "Bacterial small subunit ribosomal RNA", at positions 380 to 525 of the family's 1533-position model. The record is from RNAcentral.